AAAAAUACUAAACUGCACAAUUAAUUAGUAAGACAUUGGGGGAUAAGAUUCAUUGUCCAAGAGGAAACAGCCCAGACCAUCAGUUAAGGCCCCUAAAAGUUGCUAAGUGCGAAAGGCGGUGGGAUUACAUUAACAACCAGGAGGUUUGCUUAGAAGCAGCAAUCCUUUAAAGAGUGCGUAAUAGCUCACUGAUCGAGUAAACCUGCGCCGAAAAUGAACGGGACUAAGUAAUUUGCCGAAGCUGUGCGAUAUAUAGAAAUAUAUCGGUAGGGGAGCGUUCUGUUGUAGGUCGAAGUAUUAGCGUAAGCGGAUAUGGACGAAGCAGAAGUGAGAAUGUCGGCUUGAGUAACGAAAAUAUAGGUGAGAAUCCUAUACCCCGAAAACCCAAGGUUUCCUCCGGAAGGCUCGUCCGCGGAGGGUAAGUCAGGACCUAAGGCGAGGCUGAAAAGCGUAGUCGAUGGAUAACAGGUUAAUAUUCCUGUACUGUUUAUUGUUGGUAAUGGGGGACGGAGAAGGCUAGGCUGGCCGAAUUUUGGUUAUCGGUUUAAGUAUUCGAGGUGUUGAGAAUUGGUGAAAACAGUUUGAGCUGAGAUAUGAAUAGGAAAGUACUAAGGUACUCAACCAGUGGAUGUCAUACUUCCAAGAAAAGCUCGAAAUACCACAAACAAUAAAUGCCUGUACCCGAAACCGACACAGGUAGGUAGGUAGAGUAUACCAAGGGGCGCGAGAUAACUCUCUCUAAGGAACUCGGCAAUUUGGCUCUGUAACUUCGGAAGAAAGAGUGCCCCUUAGGGGGCCGCAGUGAAGAGAUCCAGGCGACUGUUUACCAAAAACACAGGUCUCCGCAAAGUCGUAAGACGAUAUAUGGGGGCUGACACCUGCCCAGUGCCGGAAGGUUAAAGAAGUUGGUUCAAUGCUGAUAACUGAAGCCCCGGUGAACGGCGGCCGUAACUAUAACGGUCCUAAGGUAGCGAAAUUCCUUGUCGGGUAAGUUCCGACCCGCACGAAAGGCGUAACGAUUUGGACACUGUCUCGGAGAGAUACUCGGCCAAAUAGACAUGUCCUGUAAUAUUCCGCCUGACUUCCCCCGUCACUACAAACCC
This 1103-nucleotide ribosomal RNA is filed under the name marine metagenome. RNAcentral describes it as "bacterial LSU rRNA". It matches the Rfam family "Bacterial large subunit ribosomal RNA", at positions 956 to 2091 of the family's 2925-position model. The record is from RNAcentral.